RNAcentral lists this ribosomal RNA (743 nucleotides) under Eupyrgota luteola. Its description in RNAcentral is "partial 12S ribosomal RNA". The record is from RNAcentral. Lineage: Eukaryota; Metazoa; Arthropoda; Insecta; Diptera; Pyrgotidae.
AUGUAAAUUUUUGUGUGAAUAAUUAUUUAUUUGAAUAAUAAAUAAUUUUUUGUUAUCUCAUUAAUUUAUUUUAUUAAUACAAGUAAAUUUGUGAAUAGUAAUUUUAUUUUAUACAGGUUGAAUUUGUGCCAGCAGCCGCGUUAUACAAAUAGUAUAAAUUAUUAUAUCGGUUAUUUGUUAUUAGUAUUGUAUAUAUAUAUAUAUAUAUAUAUAUAUAAUUUUAAUUGUUUAUAUGAGUUUAUUAGGUAAAAUUUUAAAUUUGUUAUUGUAGAGAAAAGAUUAAGAAGCUAUUAAAUUUUAAUUAAAAACUAGGAUUAGAUACCCUAUUAUUUAAAUCUUAAACAUGUUAAUACUUAGGUAGUAGUAGUUAUGUUCUUGAAACUUAAAAAAUUUGGCGGUAUUUUAGUCUAUUCAGAGGAACCUGUUUUUUAGUCGAUAGUCCACGUUGUACCUUACUUAAUUUUGUAUUUCAAUUUAUAUACCGUCGUUUAUAGAAUAUUUUAUAAGAAUAAUAAUUUUCAAUAAUUUUAAAUAAUUUAUAUCAGAUCAAGGUGUAAUUUAUGGUUAAGUUAGAAUGGGUUACAAUAAAUUUAUUUUCGGAUUUAGGUUUGAAAUUUUUAAUAAAGUUGGAUUUGAUAGUAAAAUUAUAAAGAUUGGUAAUUUGAUUAUAGCUCUAAAAUAUGCACAUAUCGCCCGUCGCUCUUUUUAUUUAAAGAAAGAUAAGUCGUAACAUAGUAGAUGUA